AUGGCUGAGGCUAUACUUCUCGCUGUGUCAAAGAUUGGGACAGUCGUUUUGAAUGAAGCUGUCUUGGCUGUCAUUGACAAGCUGUCGACGAAGGUUGAUAAUCUGAAGGAAUUGCCAGCAAAGAUUAAAAGAAUCGACAUAGAACUGAAGACGAUGAAUGAUGUAAUUCAAGAUUUGGGUACAACACAUCUCAGCAACAAUGUCGUCAGGGGUUGGAUUGGACAUGUGAGGAAGCUGGCCUACCAUGUCGAGGAUGUGAUUGACAAGUACUCUUAUGAGGCUCUUAAGCUCAAGGAUGAAGGCUUCCUACAUCGGUACAUCUUCAGAGGUUCACGCCAUAUAAAGGUCUUCAGUAAAAUUGCUGAGGAAGUUAUACGGAUAGAGGAUGAGAUCAGGCAGGUCAAAGGACUGCCUACUUAUUGGAGCAACACAGUCCAACCCAUAAGAAAUGAGCAUGUAGAGAUUGAUAGGCAGAGAUGUGGAGGCUGCUUCCCGGAACGUGUUAGUGAUGAGGAUCUUGUCGGAAUUGAUGAAAACAGGAGCAAGUUGACCGAAUGGCUGGCCACUGAUGAGAAAGAAAACACAGUGAUUACAGUUUCUGGUAUGGGAGGCUUGGGGAAAACAACUCUUGUGAAAAAUGUGUAUGAUCGGGAGAAAGCCAACUUCCCUGAUGCUCAUGCUUGGAUUGUGGUGUCACGGGCAUAUAAUGUAGGUGAUUUGUUGAAGACAUUGCUCACGAAGAUACAACAACACACACAAGAGUCACCGCCGCCGUCACCUCUUAGGACGGACACCAAACCUGAUGUUUUUGAGCUAAAAGAGGCGAUAAAGAAGAUACUGCAAGAUAGGAAGUGCUUGAUCGUGCUUGAUGAUGUGUGGAAUCCAGAAGCAUAUAGUCUGAUGUGCAGUGCAUUUCAGGGUCUCCAAGGAAGCCGUGUUAUGAUCACGACACGGAGGGAAGAUGUUGCGGCUCUUGCUCUAGUGAGCCGUCGCCUACAACUCCAGCCAUUGGGUAGAGACGAGUCAUUUAAGCUAUUCUGCUCAAGGGCUUUCAACAACACCCCAGACCGCAAGUGCCCUCCGGAACUUGAGAAGGUGGCUGGUGAUGUAGUUAAGAGGUGUCAUGGCCUGCCAUUGACCAUUGUAUCUUCUGGCAGCCUAUUGUCCACGAAGCAGCCGACACAGCAUGCCUGGAAUCACAUGUACAAUCAUCUCCGGAGCGAACUAUAG
RNAcentral lists this ribosomal RNA (1230 nucleotides) under Triticum aestivum (bread wheat). RNAcentral describes it as "partial small subunit ribosomal RNA". Lineage: Eukaryota; Viridiplantae; Streptophyta; Magnoliopsida; Poales; Poaceae. The record is from RNAcentral.